Molecule: ribosomal RNA, 442 nt
Filed under: Streptococcus parasanguinis
Lineage: Bacteria; Bacillati; Bacillota; Bacilli; Lactobacillales; Streptococcaceae
Description: bacterial SSU rRNA
Rfam family: Bacterial small subunit ribosomal RNA
Source: RNAcentral
GAUGAACGCUGGCGGCGUGCCUAAUACAUGCAAGUAGAACGCUGAAGCUUGGUGCUUGCACCGAGCGGAUGAGUUGCGAACGGGUGAGUAACGCGUAGGUAACCUGCCUCUUAGCGGGGGAUAACUAUUGGAAACGAUAGCUAAUACCGCAUAAAAGUCGAUAUCGCAUGAUAUUGAUUUGAAAGGUGCAAUUGCAUCACUAAGAGAUGGACCUGCGUUGUAUUAGCUAGUUGGUGAGGUAACGGCUCACCAAGGCGACGAUACAUAGCCGACCUGAGAGGGUGAUCGGCCACACUGGGACUGAGACACGGCCCAGACUCCUACGGGAGGCAGCAGUAGGGAAUCUUCGGCAAUGGGGGCAACCCUGACCGAGCAACGCCGCGUGAGUGAAGAAGGUUUUCGGAUCGUAAAGCUCUGUUGUAAGUCAAGAACGAGUGUGAGA